GGAGAAUCGGCGAACACGAACAAUCGACUCAUUCCAUGGUUUUGUUCCUCUUGAGGAAAAGAAAGGCAUGGUGGAGAAUAAGUUCAACGGCUCACGCAUCACCUCCGAGAAACAUACGCCGGGUCCUGUACCCGUGGCAACUCAUGAACCUAUGCCACCUCCUUUGCACACUGUAAGUGUAAAAUAUAAUAGCAAAGAUGAAGAGCAGAGGUUUGAAAAGGUUAAGCAGGAAACUGCAGCCAAAGAUAACAAGCCAGAAUGCACAUCUUUGGAUGAAAUAGCAGCCAAAGCAAAGGUGAAAUCAGCACCCGUGGCAACUCAUGAACCUAUGCCACCUCCUUUGCACACUGUAAGUGUAAAAUAUAAUAGCAAAGAUGAAGAGCAGAGGUUUGAAAAGGUUAAGCAGGAAACUGCAGCCAAAGAUAACAAGCCAGAAUGCACAUCUUUGGAUGAAAUAGCAGCCAAAGCAAAG
This 472-nucleotide long non-coding RNA is filed under the name Eucalyptus grandis. RNAcentral describes it as "long non-coding RNA (EGRA_LNC004194)". Lineage: Eukaryota; Viridiplantae; Streptophyta; Magnoliopsida; Myrtales; Myrtaceae. The record is from RNAcentral.